This is a long non-coding RNA of Fukomys damarensis (Damara mole-rat), 267 nucleotides long. RefSeq lists it as uncharacterized. Lineage: Eukaryota; Metazoa; Chordata; Mammalia; Rodentia; Bathyergidae. The transcript is spliced from 3 exons. The record is from RefSeq and is a predicted model, not a curated record.
AGCCAGAUUGCCUGACUGUUAUAUUUCUUCUCCAAUGAUGAGUGUUUUCUAGACACUCCAAAAGGAUGACAAAUGCAAUGCUAAGGGUAUGGAAGAAGAGGACAGUAACCAUAACAUCCUGAACUGAUUUGGAGGGCUUCCUGUAUGCCAGGCAUGGAGGCUGCAUUGUAGGAAAGAGGAUGUUCACGGUCAGGGGAGUAAAGGUUAGCAAUGGGUUCUUUCAUCUUGAUUCUUUUACUACCAUGUGGCUCCAGUCUCUUCGGAUCU